Molecule: long non-coding RNA, 180 nt
Organism: Tyto alba (common barn owl)
Lineage: Eukaryota; Metazoa; Chordata; Aves; Strigiformes; Tytonidae
Exons: 3
Source: RefSeq, a predicted model, not a curated record
GUUGGACCUGGACAUUUAAAUUCUUAAAAUGUACUGAAUAUUCUCCCCAACUUUAUGACUGAGUGCUCUGAAGAUUAGAUAACAAAAUUAUUUUGCAAAGGUGCUGCUCAUCUAGCUGAUACAGUUUAAAGAGCCAUAUAAAGCUGUGAAAAGGUUCAAGAGAGAUCUUUCAGAGAGCCC